UGGGGAAUAUUGCACAAUGGGCGCAAGCCUGAUGCAGCCAUGCCGCGUGAGUGAAGAAGGCCCUAGGGUUGUAAAGCUCUUUCAGUGGUGAAGAUAAUGACGGUAGCCACAGAAGAAGCCCCGGCCAACUCCGUGCCAGCAGCCGCGGUAAUACGGAGGGGGCUAGCGUUGUUCGGAAUUACUGGGCGUAAAGCGCGCGUAGGCGGAUCGGUUAGUUGGGGGUGAAAUCCCGAGGCUUAACCUCGGAACUGCCCUCAAUACUGCCGGUCUUGAGUUCGAGAGAGGUGAGUGGAAUUCCUAGUGUAGAGGUGAAAUUCGUAGAUAUUAGGAAGAACACCAGUGGCGAAGGCGGCUCACUGGCUCGAUACUGACGCUGAGGCGCGAAAGCGUGGGGAGCAAACAGGAUUAGAUACCCCCGUAGUCC
This 424-nucleotide ribosomal RNA is filed under the name uncultured prokaryote. RNAcentral's name for it is "bacterial SSU rRNA". It matches the Rfam family "Bacterial small subunit ribosomal RNA", at positions 355 to 796 of the family's 1533-position model. The record is from RNAcentral.